AUGGCUAUACUGUAUUGAAACACCGUUUCUCGUACGAUCACCGAAAUUAAGCAACAUUGAGCCUGGUCAGUAUUUAGAUGGGUGACCACUUGAUGAUACCAGGCGCUGUAAU
Molecule: non-coding RNA, 112 nt
Organism: Acanthosepion pharaonis
Lineage: Eukaryota; Metazoa; Mollusca; Cephalopoda; Sepiida; Sepiidae
Source: the annotation of a GenBank genome assembly